UACGAAGGGUGCAAACGUUGCUCGGAAUUAUUGGGCGUAAAGCGCACGUAGGCGGCUUAGCAAGUUGGAUGUGAAAUCUCUGGGCUUAACCCAGAACGGCCAAGUGAAACUGUUGUGCUAGAGUGCAGAAGGGGCAAUCGGAAUUCUCGGUGUAGCGGUGAAAUGCGUAGAUAUCGAGAGGAACACCAGAGGUGAAGACGGGUUGCUGGGCUGACACUGACGCUGAGGCGCGAAAGCCAGGGGAGCAAACGGG
This 253-nucleotide ribosomal RNA is filed under the name uncultured bacterium. RNAcentral describes it as "partial 16S ribosomal RNA". It matches the Rfam family "Bacterial small subunit ribosomal RNA", at positions 524 to 776 of the family's 1533-position model. The record is from RNAcentral.